AUUGAACGCUGGCGACAGGCCUAACACAUGCAAGUCGAGCGGAUGAAGGGAGCUUGCUCCUGGAUUCAGCGGCGGACGGGUGAGUAAUGCCUAGGAAUCUGCCUGGUAGUGGGGGAUAACGUCCGGAAACGGGCGCUAAUACCGCAUACGUCCUGAGGGAGAAAGUGGGGGAUCUUCGGACCUCACGCUAUCAGAUGAGCCUAGGUCGGAUUAGCUAGUUGGUGGGGUAAAGGCCUACCAAGGCGACGAUCCGUAACUGGUCUGAGAGGAUGAUCAGUCACACUGGAACUGAGACACGGUCCAGACUCCUACGGGAGGCAGCAGCGGGGAAUAUUGGACAAUGGGCGAAAGCCUGAUCCAGCCAUGCCGCGUGUGUGAAGAAGGUCUUCGGAUUGUAAAGCACUUUAAGUUGGGAGGAAGGGCAGUAAGUUAAUACCUUGCUGUUUUGACGUUACCAACAGAAUAAGCACCGGCUAACUUCGUG
This 484-nucleotide ribosomal RNA is filed under the name uncultured bacterium. RNAcentral's name for it is "partial 16S ribosomal RNA". It matches the Rfam family "Bacterial small subunit ribosomal RNA", at positions 30 to 507 of the family's 1533-position model. The record is from RNAcentral.